Molecule: long non-coding RNA, 1313 nt
Organism: Tachysurus fulvidraco (yellow catfish)
Lineage: Eukaryota; Metazoa; Chordata; Actinopteri; Siluriformes; Bagridae
Exons: 5
Source: RefSeq, a predicted model, not a curated record
AAGGCUACGUUAUUUCUUUUAAAUAAAAACCCGUGACGUCAUCUAUGUUUACACUAUUGGUUACCGGAUGUCACACUAUGUCCUGUGCGUUCGCUUCGUCUCAUUCACUGCCAGAGUCAACGGUUCGCGCUGGGUAAUGAUGGCAGUCACCGUUCAAAGGCAUACGGGUUCAGGCAACAUAAUACAUCUAAAAAUUAAUUGAAACAGCUCGACACCGCUUUAACUUGGCACGAAGUUCUGGGAAAAAAAAACUGUGCCCGGCAUCAAAAUAAGGUUUGCAACGAUGCGCCUGAAGGCACGGGUCGAAGAUCCAGUCAGUGACGUCACGAUAUGCUAAUUUGUUUAAAGUCAUACCUACGUAAUCACCAUCACCCAAAUUGUACCUUUUUUUUACAUUGAAACUUGAAAAAAAAAUAUAUAGACCUACCUACCGACCCUUUUUUUUUUUUUUUUACUGUUACUGCAAACCAAAAGGAUAUUUUUAAGGAUGGCCUCAUUAAGCGCAUGUAAGACAGAAAGCAUCCUGAUUGGCCUGUUUCGUUUGCCAUCAUCGCACCUCUUGGACAAUAUCAUCAGCUCAUUCACAUUCACGAUCAUGGCUCAUCCUGUUAUGAUUCAAUGAUUGCUACUACCAUAAGUACAGAGAGCUGGAAUCCCACAAUACCAAGUGUGCUCAUUUAAGAAGGGUCUUUCACAAAACUCCCAAUGGCUGGAUUAAAAUUCGGUGUCUGCCAGAAUUUUUUACUCAGAUACUGUAUGUAAGAAUACUCUCAAAACCUUAUCAAAGCAAGCUGGAGAAAGUCUCAAACUGUGCUGCAGGAUUUCUCACUGUGCUUCACCGUACAGUACAUACAACAACUAUGAAGACCUCGCUCAGACUGUCUGCUCUCAUGGGGGUUGUGAUGAUGGAGAGACAACAACUGAUUUGAAUGUGACACAAGUUGGAAGGCCACAGUGUAUUGCAUCUGCCUGUUCUGUGCUGAGAGCAUGAUGUGAAGUGCUGGAGAAGCAAUGUACCUGGUGCCUUGAGACUCUAAUCAGGAGGAUGAUUCAAGUGCCACUGCAGCUCUUAUGCAAGAGGAGAGAAUUUCUUCACACACGUUACUAGUGCCAACUUGACUCAAACCCGGAAACACAUCUCAGUCCCAGUGAGCACUACACUGGCACAAAAAAAAAAAAAACAGUGAUUAUUAAACUUCAAAUCUGUUUCUAUACAGUAUUUACUUCAUUGUGUUAUGAUGUACAUUGCAUUCUACAGGUGUAUUUGUUUUUCAGGACUUUUCUUCAAUGCAUAAAAAUUCAAUUUAAAGCAA